CUUGGCGACCAUAGCGUUGCGGACCCACCUGAUCCCAUGCCGAACUCAGAAGUGAAACGCAGUAGCGCCGAUGGUAGUGUGGGGUUUCCCCAUGUGAGAGUAGGACAUCGCCAGGU
RNAcentral lists this ribosomal RNA (116 nucleotides) under Vibrio qingdaonensis. RNAcentral also lists the same sequence under 4 other names. Lineage: Bacteria; Pseudomonadati; Pseudomonadota; Gammaproteobacteria; Vibrionales; Vibrionaceae. The record is from RNAcentral.